UACGGGGGGGGCAAGCGUUGUUCGGAAUUACUGGGCGUAAAGGGCUCGUAGGCGGCCAACUAAGUCAGACGUGAAAUCCCUCGGCUUAACCGGGGAACUGCGUCUGAUACUGGAUGGCUAGAGGUUGGGAGAGGGAUGCGGAAUUCCAGGUGUAGCGGUGAAAUGCGUAGAUAUCUGGAGGAACACCGGUGGCGAAGGCGGCAUCCUGGACCAAUUCUGACGCUGGGGAGCGAAAGCCAGGGGAGCAAACGGG
RNAcentral lists this ribosomal RNA (253 nucleotides) under uncultured bacterium. Its description in RNAcentral is "partial 16S ribosomal RNA". It matches the Rfam family "Bacterial small subunit ribosomal RNA", at positions 524 to 776 of the family's 1533-position model. The record is from RNAcentral.